CCCUCCAUUUAUUAGAGGACAAAUGUAG
RNAcentral lists this non-coding RNA (28 nucleotides) under Cricetulus griseus (Chinese hamster). The record is from RNAcentral. Lineage: Eukaryota; Metazoa; Chordata; Mammalia; Rodentia; Cricetidae.